RNAcentral lists this long non-coding RNA (1153 nucleotides) under Solanum tuberosum (potato). RNAcentral's name for it is "long non-coding RNA (STUB_LNC010798)". The record is from RNAcentral. Lineage: Eukaryota; Viridiplantae; Streptophyta; Magnoliopsida; Solanales; Solanaceae.
AUCAAGGUACAACAUAGCAAUACACAUUAUCCAACAAAUUUAAUCAAAACCCAUUUCCAUAUGCAUACCCCUAGAAUAGGGGUUUUAGCCAAUCAUAUUAAAAGUACAAGAAAGUAAACCAAAAAAAUUCUCGACCAUCAGAUUGAUGAUUUGCAACUUAAAUUAAAUAGACCCACUUCAAAAAUCCUAAAAAUUAUGGGUUACCAGCUUGUUUCUCACACUACAAAAUAGAACUUUUCUAUUGUACGCUUUCAGAAAAGUUUCAGAUCACAUUCUAUAAGCUAAAAAGAUGCAUUUUUCUCUCCUUUCUUCUAUUUAUUGUUCCCCAAAACUUCAUCAAAUUUCUUAGUUGGAAAUGUUAGUCGUUCUCACCAACUUGUUCUUCUUCUCACCGACUUCUUCUUCUUCUCGCCUUUCUUGGUUUCAGGCUUCAAGGGUUUAAACCACAAUUGGUGAGCUCGAUGGAGUUCAUCGUUCAUAUUUGGUGAGUAGUCGAUUAUCAUCCAAUCUUGCCUUUUGGCCUUAAUCUUGGCUUAAAUGUACUGUAACUUUCGGCGAGCACUAGUUAGUUCACCGAUUGAGUUCGGUGAGUUGCUGUUUAGCUCUUCUUCUCACCAACCUAUCUAUAGCAUUUGAGUUAAUGACUCUGUCAUUUUUUGUGAGAUCUAAAAAAUUUAGUGAUUUGCCGAAUGCCUUUUGGUGAGCAUCGAUGUCACGAUUUUCCUCUUUUUCCAUUGUUUUAGCUUCUUUUUUGUGAUUCAUCCUUGCCUUUUCCUUGAGACUUCAUAGCUACAAAACACAAUAAAUCAUUAGAUACGAACUUAAAAAGGCAUUAAGGACACUAAUUGUUGAACUAAAAAGGCUUCAAAUGAGUCAAAAUCUCUGACUCAUCACAUCCUUUGAACCUCAUGGAUAGAUGGAAUGACACUCUUCUUUUUGCAACAUUAUUGGGAUAUCCUCUUCCUUAAUAUUAUCAUCGUAGUAAACAUUUCUUCAAUCUCUAAUACAUCUUAUCAUCUUGUAAUCAAACACUAAUUACUUUAUUUCAAAAAUGAAGAAUAUAUAAAUGGAAACAUAAGAAGUGCACAUGUAAAUAGUAUAUUGCAAAUUGUAAUAAGACGCCAACUUACAAAUUGAAAUGGCUUGGUUUAUG